This 497-nucleotide ribosomal RNA is filed under the name uncultured bacterium. Its description in RNAcentral is "partial 16S ribosomal RNA". It matches the Rfam family "Bacterial small subunit ribosomal RNA", at positions 28 to 507 of the family's 1533-position model. The record is from RNAcentral.
GAUGAACGCUGGCGGCGUGCCUAAUACAUGCAAGUCGAGCGAACAGACGAGGAGCUUGCUCCUCUGACGUUAGCGGCGGACGGGUGAGUAACACGUGGAUAACCUACCUAUAAGACUGGGAUAACUUCGGGAAACCGGAGCUAAUACCGGAAAAUAUAUUGAACCGCAUGGUUCAAUAGUGAAAGACGGUUUUGCUGUCACUUAUAGAUGGCUCCGCGCCGCAUUCGCUAGUUGGUAAGGUAACGGCUUACCAAGGCAACGAUGCGUAGCCGACCUGAGAGGGUGGUCGGCCACACUGGAACUGAGACACGGUCCAGACUCCUACGGGAGGCAGCAGUAGGGAAUCUUCCGCGAUGGGCGAAAGCCUGACGGAGCAACGCCGCGUGAGUGAUGAAGGUCUUCUGAUCGUAAAACUCUGUUAUUAGGGAAGAACAAAUGUGUAAGUAACUAUGCUCGUCUUGACGGUACCUGAUCAGAAAGCCACGGCUAACUACGUG